AACCCACUGAGCCACCCAGGUGCCCCUGUUGUUUUAUUUUUAACACUUUCUCAAAACACGGCUGUUGGUGAGCCUUUUAACUACUCCGUGCCAGUAGUCUCCCCACUGAGGAAGGAAGGUGUCAGGCGUACACAGAGCAGGAGGAGAAAGAAUUCAGCUGCAGCCUCCAGCUGGAGACCAGAGCUCUCCCUACCACCUCUGCAUCUGAGAGGCGAAGCCCUUGUUCUCUGGGUGGGAACAGAUUCUGGGGAACAGUGUGCCGGACAGGGAAAUAGAACCACCUUCCCAGUUUUUCCUGAACUGUGAUACUGAAGCCUGCUUUGUCUCUGUUUGAUUGCAAAUACAGCUUGGUGAAUAACAAAUCCCAUACUCAAAAUGAUGGUAAAGUGAGUGGGCAACCUUUUGAUUUUAAAGUAGACUAUAAAACAAUCAAACUGUCUUACAAUCCAAAGUGUAAAAUUAGAAACUGAAAUUCCAAGCUCAGUGUCAGUCUCAACCCAUCUAACUCCAUCCAGUAAGUGUAAUGGUUCAGAAAUGAGGCCGCUGCCAGCGCCCAAGCAGGGCUCCAUUCCAGCUUCUGCCCACCCGGGCCCAGCACACUUAAGGAGGCUUUAUGCGCACUGUGUCAUUUCACAAACAAGAAGAUGCCAACUGCAUAUUCAUCGCAUCCUGGAUGAAUGAUAUGUAAAAUACAAUAAAAUCUUAUCGUUUUGAGUAGAAUCAAGUGUGUGGGGGGGGGAUUUUACUUUUCACGUUGCGUCCCCAAGCCUCUGUCUCACUGAUGGGAUGUGCAUACUUCUUUUAGGCAAGUAGGAAGAAGGAGGUUCUUGGCUGCCUAAAAUGAUGCCCUUCAAACAGUUUUGCUUCUUAGCAGGAGGAAAAGAGCAAAUUAGGAUGAAGGGAAGAUUGCCCAAGAAUUCCAGGAAGAGAAGCAAAAAGCCUGGAGCGCAAGGGCCAUGAUGUUUACAUGUUAGUAUUUGAAGUUUACAACUUGAUAUCUGACCUUCCAGAAUUCCUGGGGGUUCUGCUGAGAUUUUGACCAGGAUGAGGCUGUACUUCUGAAGACUUGCUGGAAUGGCACCGGUCGCCACUGACCUGGCAUUUUCUGCCUUUGCUGAGAGCCAAGGAAUGGAGGCCAAGGGGAAACAAAGGCUCAGCCUCAGUAUCUUCUGUAGCCAUUACUCGUUCCCGAGCCUGGUGAGUGGGUGGUGAUAUUUAAGGCUGAAAGAAAGAAUUCUCCUAAGUCAGCAUGCGUUUUCAUUCCCAUCUCAACCCCAUCCUGUAGCCACUGCAGUAAAAAUACAAGACUAAUGGUCUGACAUUUCACAUCCUGCCUGGCUGAGGCCGUAGGCGCCCACAUGCCUGCUGGUAUUUUGGGUUUUGCCUCACAGAGAGCAGGCUAACGUGUGCUGCUCACUCCUGCAUUCUGCUUCUGAGAAUAGGAUCUUUCAGCUGUCAAAGACUGGUUGUUAGUCUUAAACCUUUUUAGCUCCUCGGCCAAAUCCAGGGUCAGUGGGUCAAAAUUACAGACUGCAGAAGGUCAAGAGAAAAAUAUUGCUAGAGGCCACCCUUUACACCAGCUCAGCCUUGCCAGAAUUCUCUUCGGGUGUGAAGCCCUUAUCUCUGUUCUGUCACUUCAAGACUCCAACUUUUCCAUUUUAUCAUAAAUGUCCUCUGUAUCAGUGAGGCUUCUAUAACUUAUUUCAAAACUAGAAUUGCUAGUCUUUGGAACUCUUCAAGUCCAUUCUCCCUUCAUUCCUAAAGCCAGUUCAAAACCCCUCCUCGGGGCAACUCCCUGCUUGGCCUUACCUGCCAGCCUUCAUUCGGAUAUGGCUCUGGAGUGCUCAUCCUUACUCUGUUUGCACUGGUAGCUCGGGUUACACUGGAGUGACAAUUGGGGGAUGCCCUGACCCCACUUCCCUUGGCCUGGAAGGCAGCCCAGCCUGGGACCUGGGCCUGGACUUUUAUCUUCAUGGCCUCCAAUGUCCUGUGCGACCUUGGGUGCCUUAGUUAACCUCUCUGAAUUCCUGUUUCCUCUGGAGGAGUUUCCAAGCUCCAAUGUUCCUUCAUCCCUGCCCUACGGCCCAUGGGAAGAGGAUCGUACAGAGUAAUGGAACUUGGGCCUGAACAGGAUGUUCGAGGUAGGGAGUGGUUCCCAGCACUUCAUUAUCUCCCCUACUCCUACCUCUGUCCUUUUCUGUGUGAACUAGCACAAGACUGUUGUCCCCUCUGGGCUUCCUUUUGCCCACCGGAAAAUGACUAGGACGAGGGCGAGGUAAAUUCCCAUGCUGUGGGGUUUAGACAUUCAUAUCCAGGCGGCCAUCCCCCAGGCCUCUGAGACCAUGGACCACCAUGACUUCGACCUCUUUGCCAGUGAGAGGGUGUCUGACCACAUGGUUCUGCCAAGAAUGAGAAUGGUAACCUGCUAUCUUCAGCCAGCCACUAUACAUUGGCUUGUAUGAGAACAUCACCAUGGGGACCUCUGUGCUGAUAGUCCUGCUCCAGACCUCAUGUGAAACCUUGGCGCCUGCUUGCCUUGCCUUUGCUGUUUGCUGGUCUCUACCUCACCUCUGAGAGCCUUCAUUUCUCAUCUGCAAAAUGGGCAUGAGACCUCCCAAGGCUGCUGAAUGUUGGAUGUGAAAGCAUCCCCUGGGCAGUCCCUAUCCACCAUCAUGCCCCAGUCUUCCCCAUGUGCUUCCAGAACUCCUAGCAGGAAGCAAGUUUUGUGGCCUCUCCGACCACCCUGCCAGGCCUGGUCUCCCCUGUUCCUGCCCUUGACCGGGAUCAGCCUGGUCUUCCCACCGCCUUUGCUGCAUGAGAAGCUAAAGUUAUAGCUGUCUGCUCAGGGACUGUGAAAUUCCUUCUCCCUGGCCUUUUCCAGGAUGUUAUUAACAUGCUUCAUGGGGAGGAAAAAAAUGUCUGGGAAUGGGUGGAAGGUCUCAAAUAGACAAAGCUUAUAUUUUGUCCCAGAGAAGGCUUUAUGGAUGCCCAUGGCUAGAAAAUGUUUCCUUUUGCCACAAAAAGGGAGAAGGUGGUCCAGGUUCCUGUCCCUCACCCCCAAAGUGAGGCCCUGCUUGUUCUCUCUUCUGCCAUGGUGAAAAGUGUUAUCCGCCGCGUUUAAAACCAGACAACGACUGAAGAUUUGUAACAUCGUAAAACCUUGGUGAACAGCACAAUAUAUUGAUUAGCUGGACUUUUUCUUCCUUGCUUGUAUUCAGACAACUCGAAUAGCAGGGACUAAAGAGAGUACAGGGACACAAACUCUCCCUCACUUCAUCUUGCCCACGGCUGCCUCCGGGUGCUGCAAGUGAGCUCCCUUGGAGGACUAACCCCCACACCCCAGGAUCUCCUGGCAUUCUGAGUUGGGAAGAAUGUUCAAACUGUUUUCCCUUAUAUGAAUUAGGGACACAUGGUUCAGAAUUCCAAAUGUAUAAAAGGGCAGAGGGCACAGAGUUCUCUGUAGGAUACUGUCAUGGUGGAUACAUGUCAGUAGACAUUCGUCCAAACCCACAUCACGGACACCGAGAAUAGACCCUAAGGGAAACUGGGCUCCAGGGGAUGGUGACGUGUCAGUGGCUAGAUAUCAGUGGUAACAAAUGGACACCUCUGGUGGGAAGUUGACGUUGGGGGAGGCUGUGUGUAGGUAGGGGCGGGGGUAGAUGGUAAAUGAGCACACUCUGUAGCUCUGCUCAAUUAUGCAGCAAACAGAAAACAGCUCUAAAAAAAAAAGUCUACUUAAAAGAAGGAAAGGGUACAGAGUGAUAUGUUCCCAGUUCCCUUUUUGGAGGCAACCAGUGUUAACAGUUUUUUAUCAAAGGUAGAAUUUCUCUCUCUGGACUCAGCUGAGCUGGGCCUGGAUGUAGCAGAGGCUCAGCUAAGGAGGGAGGGGCGAGGGACUUCUCUCUGUGUUUGCCUCCUGGGGCAUCUAAUCCAAAAGAAAAGGCCCAGCCACUUCCCAGACAUCACGCCGGAUUCCUAGGGCUUUGGGGUGGGUAAUGAGGUCUGAAAUAGAGAGGAGCAAAAGAGUUGAGUGUCUCGGUGUCCCCACCCACAAAACAAUGUCUGCUUGGACAGGCUGCCUCUCAAGGGUCUCCUGUACUCCAGUUCAGCCUGAGCUCAGUGGAGAAGGAACACGAGGAAGGAAGAGAGCUGCUUGCUUUGACCUAAGUUUGGUGCUUGGGGGUGGGAGAGGAGGGGCUGGGGACAGAACUGGCCUCAAGUGACUCAGGAGGUCCACGCCCCAACCCCCUGCGACUUGGCUAACCCCAUGCCCCAGCGCCCCUUUGCCCCUUCCAAGGGUUGGGAGAAAAGGUCUAGUGUGGUUGAGGAUAGGCACAGGAACAUGAAGGAAAGGGAGCUACACACCAGACACCAUUUCCAUGGAUUUUACCUUUAGGAGUGUGGAUUUUAGGAUGCAACUCAGUACAUUUUCUAUGUGAGCUAGCACAAGACUGUCCCCUCUGGGCUUCCUUUGCCCACUGGAAAAUGGACUACAAGUGAGGUAAUUUCCAGUGCUGUGGGAGUCAGGCAGGUAACGGGAAGGAAGGCCAGCGAGGCGAACCAAGCUUGAGCUUCUAAAGGCGGCAGCUGCCUCUCAGCUCGGGACAAUUGCCAUGGGGGAACGAGGUUUUAUUAACCGAUUCAUUAGAAGGGCUGAGCUUGAUAGCACAGGAAAAAAGAAGUGGCUGUUUCCUUCUAGGUCUUUCUUUGGCAGAACUCUGGAUUCCCCUGUCCACCUUUUGAUGAUGUCUUGGGCCAAGAGAUCAGAUUCUGGGACUUUCUGAUCAAGUGCCCAAAAUAGGAACAGAUUCCCUUUAAAAUUAGAAUGUCCUUUUAGGUAUAAAAAAUGUUGCCAUUUAAAUCAAAACUUGAAUCCCAAAUAUAAUUCAAAACUUCAGCCCACCAGCUAGGCCACCGCUUCUUUCAGUUCUCCCCCGGACCACCACCCCCAAUGCUUCCCUCUUCCCCAGUGGUCGGCUCUUCUAGAAGGUGGGGCAGGGGGUGCAGAGACUGGAAAGGUAGACAGGGCAGAUGCAGGCCUUCUGUGACUAUUGUCCUCUCGCUAUUGGCAUGGCUUGCAACUGAAAUGUGGGUGUACUCACAUGCUGUUCUCAGCUCUGCGACUUCGUGACUAUCCAAUAGCAAAUCACACCAUGAAUCUGAUUUUUAAGUCAAAUUUGUGUAUGUCAGCGCAAAAUUACCCAACACUCCUGCGCCGAAUCAUUCUUGUCCGUGGGCUAUCAAUAGAGGGCUGACUUACAACAGGUUUGAAGGUCUCUUCCAGUCAUUGUCAUCUGCAACGUUAUAAUUUUCUUAGAUUGAGUAAGAACCACUGGAAGUCAUCCAGGCUUUCCCCUUAGAGACAGGGAACACUCCUGUUCCCCUCUAGGCCUCCUGGAAAUGAAUUCUCCUGGACGGACACCACCAGAAUCCUGCAGAAACAAGACCUGAAGGGAAGGGCCAGCAGGUGGCAGGAGAGAAUAGCAUGGGUCUCAGCUUCUGUCCAGUUGUGGUUCCAGCUGUCAACUUAUUCAGCCUCUAGCUUUCCCUCACGGGCAUUCAUGCACAGAUUUCAUAGAAUGAUGGACUUUCAUAGAAACAUGUGCCGGGGAGUUUGGAAGGGACCUUGAAGGUCACCAAAGCCGACGGACGUCUUUGUGCCCUUUACGACAUCCUGUUACAGAACUCCUUCAGUGUCAGCAUGAAUGCAUUCAGAGACAGGAAGCUCAGUACUUUCUAAAGCCAUUUGUCCAGGAGCACCUGGAUGGCUCUGUCGGUUAAGUUUCUGACUUUUGGUUUCCGCUCAGGGGCAUGAGAUCGAGCCCC
Neogale vison (American mink) is the source of this 5826-nucleotide long non-coding RNA. RefSeq lists it as uncharacterized. The record is from RefSeq and is a predicted model, not a curated record. NCBI's taxonomy places the organism in Eukaryota, Metazoa, Chordata, Mammalia, Carnivora, Mustelidae. The transcript has 3 exons.